AAAAAAACAAUCAUCGCCGAGACCUGAGAAACGUCCCCAAUCGGAAUCCCUACCUCCGUAGUGGAAGGAAGGCGUGCCUUCAAAUUCAUCUUCAUCGCAAUUCAAUCAAUCAAGCUCUUCUCUAGAAUAGCUCAUAUGAAGAUGACCACUGGAAACCCCACUGUAGAUAAAUUUGCUCCUCCGACACUAAGUCAAUUGCGUGAAAUGGUGAGACACCAUCAAGAACCAGUGAAAAGUGGAGCCGAUAAAAGUGAUGACGAGGGUAAGUCGUCUUUGUAUGAUACGAGUGUAACCAAAAACAAAGUUGAAGGCAGUCCCACUACGGAUCCUCAUUCCCCUAAUGUAGGAGAACACCGAGGAAAAAGAGAAGAAAUAGAGUCCGAAGGAUAAAGAGGAAGAGGAGGAAGAAAAGCACCAAGAGGAAGACGUAGAAAGGGACCAAAAAAUGGAGGCUUCUCUUUACUGUUUGUUUUGAUAGACAUCAUAGUUUGUCUUCAGAACGUAUCUUAACAACUGUUCUUUAAAUUCAUUGCCACUCUUGAAUGUCUUUAUUAACCACAAGUAUGGAGGCUUCUCUUUACUGUAA
Eutrema salsugineum is the source of this 586-nucleotide long non-coding RNA. RefSeq lists it as uncharacterized. NCBI's taxonomy places the organism in Eukaryota, Viridiplantae, Streptophyta, Magnoliopsida, Brassicales, Brassicaceae. The record is from RefSeq and is a predicted model, not a curated record. The transcript is spliced from 2 exons.